Non-coding RNA from Triticum aestivum (bread wheat), 46 nucleotides. The record is from Rfam. NCBI's taxonomy places the organism in Eukaryota, Viridiplantae, Streptophyta, Magnoliopsida, Poales, Poaceae.
CCAUUGGUUUUUUUCAAAACCCUAGAUCUAUUCUUUUAGAUUCAGU